CUACCCUUGACAUGUCCAGAAGCCUGAAGAGAUUUGGGUGUGCCCGAAAGGGAACUGGAACACAGGUGCUGCAUGGCUGUCGUCAGCUCGUGUCGUGAGAUGUUGGGUUAAGUCCCGCAACGAGCGCAACCCUUGUCGUUAAUUGCCAUCAUUCAGUUGGGCACUUUAACGAGACUGCCGGUGACAAACCGGAGGAAGGUGGGGAUGACGUCAAGUCCUCAUGGCCCUUAUGGGUAGGGCUUCACACGUCAUACAAUGGCCGGUACAGAGGGUUGCCAAGCCGCGAGGUGGAGCCAAUCCCAGAAAGCCGAUCGUAGUCCGGAUCGCAGGCUGCAACUCGCCUGCGUGAAGUCGGAAUCGCUAGUAAUCGCGGAUCAGCAUGUCGCGGUGAAUACGUUCCCGGGUCUUGUACACACCGCCCGUCACACCAUGGGAGCGGGUUCUGCCAGAAGUAGUUAGCCUAACCGCAAGGAGGGCGAUUACCACGGCAGGGUUCGUGACUGGGGUGAAGUCGUAACAAGGUAGCCGUAUCGGAAGGUGCGGCUGGAUCACCUCC
This 556-nucleotide ribosomal RNA is filed under the name uncultured Dechloromonas sp. RNAcentral's name for it is "bacterial SSU rRNA". It matches the Rfam family "Bacterial small subunit ribosomal RNA", at positions 975 to 1530 of the family's 1533-position model. Lineage: Bacteria; Pseudomonadati; Pseudomonadota; Betaproteobacteria; Rhodocyclales; Azonexaceae. The record is from RNAcentral.